This 459-nucleotide ribosomal RNA is filed under the name uncultured bacterium. Its description in RNAcentral is "partial 16S ribosomal RNA". It matches the Rfam family "Bacterial small subunit ribosomal RNA", at positions 338 to 795 of the family's 1533-position model. The record is from RNAcentral.
CCUACGGGGGGCAGCAGUGAGGAAUAUUGGACAAUGGGCGGGAGCCUGAACCAGCCAAGCCGCGUGAGGGAAGAAGGUACAGCGUAUCGUAAACCUCUUUUGUCAGGGAACAAAGGCGGGGACUAGUCCCCGGAUGAGGGUACCUGUAGAAAAAGCAUCGGCUAACUCUGUGCCAGCAGCAGCGGUAAUACGGAGGAUGCGAGCGUUAUCCGGAUUUAUUGGGUUUAAAGGGUGCGCAGGCGGCCUGUUAAGUCAGCGGUAAAAGCCCGGGGCUCAACCGCAGCGAGCCGUUGAAACUGGGGGACUGGAGUGGGAGAGAGGUGCGCGGAAUGCGCGGUGUAGCGGUGAAAUGCUUAGAUAUCGCGCAGAACCCCGAUUGCGAAGGCAGCGCUCCGGCUCGACACUGACGCUGAGGCACGAAAGCGUGGGUAGCGAACAGGAUUAGAUACCCCUGUAGUC